AAGUCGUAACAAGGUUUCCGUAGGUGAACCUGCGGAAGGAUCAUUACAAAAGGAGGAGUCUCCUACUGUGGUAGCGGGUCCGCCCGCUACCCGACGAACACGGCCCCCCUCACGGGGGGUACCCCCCCACCCUUGCUUAUUAUACCUUUGUUGCUUUGGCGGGCCGCGUCAAGCCACCGGCUCACGCUGGUGAGCGCCCGCCAGAGGCCCCAACUCUUGAUUUUAUGAUGUCUGAGUACUAUAUAAUAGUUAAAACUUUCAACAACGGAUCUCUUGGUUCUGGCAUCGAUGAAGAACGCAGCGAAAUGCGAUAAGUAAUGUGAAUUGCAGAAUUCAGUGAAUCAUCGAAUCUUUGAACGCACAUUGCGCCCCGUGGUAUUCCGCGGGGCAUGCCUGUUCGAGCGUCAUUAUGACCAAAUCACGCCUGGNGUGGNCUUGNGGCUGNCAACUCUGCCGCCCUCAAACGCAGUGGCAGCGCCGUUUGGCUCUUAGCGUAGUAAUACUCCUCGCUAUAGGGUCCUGCGGCUGCCCGCCAGCAACCCCCAAUCUUUAUAGGUUGACCUCGGAUCAGGUAGGGAUACCCGCUGAACUUAAGCAUAUCAAUAAGCGGAGGAAAAGAAACCAACAGGGAUUGCCUCAGUAACGGCGAGUGAAGCGGCAACAGCUCAAAUUUGAAAUCUGGCCCUUUCAGGGUCCGAGUUGUAAUUUGUAGAAGAUGCUUCGGGUGUGGUCCCGGUCUAAGUUCCUUGGAAGAGGACGUCAUAGAGGGUGAGAAUCCCGUAUGUGACCGGUGCCCACGCCUAUGUGAAGCUCUUUCGACGAGUCGAGUUGUUUGGGAAUGCAGCUCUAAAUGGGUGGUAUAUUUCAUCUAAAGCUAAAUAUUGGCCAGAGACCGAUAGCGCACAAGUAGAGUGAUCGAAAGAUGAAAAGCACUUUGGAAAGAGAGUUAAACAGUACGUGAAAUUGUUGAAAGGGAAGCGCUUGCAAUCAGACUUGCGCGCCGUCGAUCAUCCCAGGUUUUCCUGGGUGCACUCGGCGGCGCUCAGGCCAGCAUCGGUUCCAGUGGUGGGAUAAAGGCCUUGGGAAUGUAGCUCCUUUCGGGGAGUGUUAUAGCCCUCGGUGCAAUGCCGCCUACCGGGACCGAGGACCGCGCUUCGGCUAGGAUGCUGGCGUAAUGGUUGUAAGCGACC
This 1190-nucleotide ribosomal RNA is filed under the name uncultured fungus. Its description in RNAcentral is "eukaryotic LSU rRNA". The stretch from base 558 to 1190 matches the Rfam family "Eukaryotic large subunit ribosomal RNA", at positions 1 to 649 of the family's 3401-position model. The record is from RNAcentral. Lineage: Eukaryota; Fungi.